RNAcentral lists this ribosomal RNA (868 nucleotides) under uncultured bacterium. Its description in RNAcentral is "bacterial SSU rRNA". It matches the Rfam family "Bacterial small subunit ribosomal RNA", at positions 28 to 898 of the family's 1533-position model. The record is from RNAcentral.
GACGAACGCUGGCGGCGCGCCUAACACAUGCAAGUCGAGCGAUGACGUUUCAACAGAUUCUUUCGAGAUGACGAUGAGAUUGAUUAGCGGCGGACGGGUGAGUAACACGUGAGUAACCUACCUUCCACAAGGGGAUAGCCUCGGGAAACCGGGAUUAAUACCCUAUGACACAUACCUUUCGCAUGAAGGGGAUGUUAAAGUGAAUGAGCGGUGGAAGAUGGACUCGCGACCCAUUAGUUAGUUGGUGAGGUAACGGCUCACCAAGACGACGAUGGGUAGCCGGCCUGAGAGGGUGAACGGCCACAUUGGAACUGAGACACGGUCCAAACUCCUACGGGAGGCAGCAGUGGGGAAUAUUGCACAAUGGGGGAAACCCUGAUGCAGCGACGCCGCGUGAGCGAUGAAGGCUUUCGAGUCGUAAAGCUCUGUCCUAUGGGAAGAUAGUGACGGUACCAUAGGAGGAAGCCCCGGCUAACUACGUGCCAGCAGCCGCGGUAAUACGUAGGGGGCGAGCGUUGUCCGGAAUUACUGGGCGUAAAGGGUUCGCAGGCGGCGAUGCAAGUCCGGUGUGAAAGACAAAGGCUUAACCUUUGCAAGCAUUGGAAACUGUAUGGCUUGAGUGAAGGAGAGGUAAGUGGAAUUCCUAGUGUAGCGGUGAAAUGCGUAGAUAUUAGGAAGAAUACCUGUGGCGAAGGCGACUUACUGGACUUCAACUGACGCUGAGGAACGAAAGCGUGGGGAGCAAACAGGAUUAGAUACCCUGGUAGUCCACGCCGUAAACGAUGAGUGCUAGGUGUCGGGAGAGAUCUCGGUGCCGCCGUUAACACAUUAAGCACUCCGCCUGGGGGAGUACGUGCGCAAGCAUGAA